This 28-nucleotide non-coding RNA is filed under the name Drosophila erecta. RNAcentral also lists the same sequence under 1 other name. Lineage: Eukaryota; Metazoa; Arthropoda; Insecta; Diptera; Drosophilidae. The record is from RNAcentral.
GAUGCCUAGGCAGCGAUCAUCGGGACCC